ACUCGCUUCGGCGGUACAUAUACUAAAAUUGGAACGAUACAGAGUAGAUUAGCAUGACCCCUGCGCAAGGAUAUCAUGUCUGGCAGACGGUUGUAUCUAU
Molecule: small nuclear RNA, 100 nt
Filed under: Rhodnius prolixus
Lineage: Eukaryota; Metazoa; Arthropoda; Insecta; Hemiptera; Reduviidae
Source: RNAcentral